This 68-nucleotide transfer RNA is filed under the name Marmota monax (woodchuck). RNAcentral's name for it is "tRNA.Met". It matches the Rfam family "tRNA". Rfam says of the family: Transfer RNA (tRNA) molecules are approximately 80 nucleotides in length. Their secondary structure includes four short double-helical elements and three loops (D, anti-codon, and T loops). Further hydrogen bonds mediate the characteristic L-shaped molecular structure. tRNAs have two regions of fundamental functional importance: the anti-codon, which is responsible for specific mRNA codon recognition, and the 3' end, to which the tRNAs corresponding amino acid is attached (by aminoacyl-tRNA synthetases). tRNAs cope with the degeneracy of the genetic code in two manners: having more than one tRNA (with a specific anti-codon) for a particular amino acid; and 'wobble' base-pairing, i.e. permitting non-standard base-pairing at the 3rd anti-codon position. Lineage: Eukaryota; Metazoa; Chordata; Mammalia; Rodentia; Sciuridae. The record is from RNAcentral.
GGGUUGUGGCUCAGUGGUAGAGUACUCGCCUCAUAUGCAUGAGGCCCUGGGCUCGAUCCUCAGCCCCA